This 220-nucleotide unclassified non-coding RNA is filed under the name Hevea brasiliensis (rubber tree). Lineage: Eukaryota; Viridiplantae; Streptophyta; Magnoliopsida; Malpighiales; Euphorbiaceae. The record is from RNAcentral.
GCUGAGGACCUCCAUCUCUGCGUUUUCGAGCAUCAUGACGACUUCAGUGAAAGGGGGGCGCACGUCUGGGUUUGCAUCCCAACAGCGGGUCAUGAUUUCGCCCAGCACAGGGAGGCAGUCUGGUGGGACGAUCGGUCGAGCGCCUUUGUUGACAACGGCAAAUGCUGCUUGGACGGCUGUCAUGUUCUGGAAGGGGAGCAUGCCGGUUAUUAGCUCCCAG